GUCUCCAGCCACACCACCCUGAACGUGCCUAAUCUCAUCUGAUCUCAGAAGCUAAGCAGGGUCAGGCCUGGUUAGUACUGGGAUGGGAGAUUACAGGUGCAUACC
This 105-nucleotide ribosomal RNA is filed under the name Prolemur simus (greater bamboo lemur). Lineage: Eukaryota; Metazoa; Chordata; Mammalia; Primates; Lemuridae. The record is from RNAcentral.